Small nucleolar RNA from Dioscorea cayenensis subsp. rotundata (Guinea yam), 107 nucleotides. The record is from RefSeq and is a predicted model, not a curated record. NCBI's taxonomy places the organism in Eukaryota, Viridiplantae, Streptophyta, Magnoliopsida, Dioscoreales, Dioscoreaceae.
AACCCAUAUUGAGGACAUUUUCACUGGAGUUCCUUGAUCCUUUCCUAUAUCUCGAAUAGAGACUCCAACUCCAUUUGCACAAAGGACGAGAUCUCAUUCCUAAGCUU